RNAcentral lists this unclassified non-coding RNA (384 nucleotides) under uncultured Chloroflexota bacterium. RNAcentral's name for it is "uncultured Chloroflexi bacterium contains 16S-23S intergenic spacer region". Lineage: Bacteria; Bacillati; Chloroflexota. The record is from RNAcentral.
UCCGGUUUGACACCGGCAGUCUCGCCAGAGUGCUCGCCAUGACGCGUUUGCAACUGACGACAGGGGUUUCGCUCGUUAGGGGACUUAACCCAACACCUCAAGGCACGAGCUGACGACAGCCAUGCAACACCUGUGCUGGUUACACCCGAAGGCAAUCCCUCGGCUUUCACCGAGUUAAUCCCAGCAUGUCAAGCCCUGGUAAGGUUCUUCGCGUUGCCUCGAAUUAAACCACACGCUCCGCUGCUUGUGCGGGCCCCCGCCUAUUCCUUUGAGUUUUAACCUUGCGGCCGUAGUCCCCAGGCGGUGAACUUAAUGCGUUAGCUGCGGCACUGAUCGGGUCAAUCCGACCAACACCUAGUUCACAACGUUUAGGGCGUGGACUAC